This is an RNA transcript of Solanum pennellii, 3149 nucleotides long. It is a transcript of the gene named putative late blight resistance protein homolog R1B-16, with no coding region annotated. NCBI's taxonomy places the organism in Eukaryota, Viridiplantae, Streptophyta, Magnoliopsida, Solanales, Solanaceae. The transcript is spliced from 3 exons. The record is from RefSeq and is a predicted model, not a curated record.
CAUCCAUGAACCACAAGUUGUGUAGAAAAUAGUCCAAAGAGUAUAUCAUUUGGACAAAGUAAAGACAUUAAAUCUGCAAGGCUCUUAUCUUUUAGCAAUAAUUGUUGUUAAGAGAAAUGGCUUAUGCUGCUCUUUCUUCACUUAUGGAUACAUUAGAACAACUCUUCAAACCUAACCAAUCUUUUGUUUGUCGAAGUUGUACACAACAACAUGUCGAAUCUCUCCAUCAAAAUCUUUCUGCUCUGCAAGAUUUUCUUGACGUUACCACAAAGGGUAUUGAAACUCUUAAGUUAAUAGAAAAGAGGAUCAGAGAUGUAAUAUACAAAGCAGAAGAUAAAGUUGAUUCAAGUCUAAGAAGCAUCAUUCUAGCUGAUUGCACAGAGAGUAGAGAAGGGGCUUGUAAGUUGUUUGAGGAAGAAUUGGUACUAGUGGAAAAAGAUGUUGAUUCUCUAAGGAAAGAGGUGAUGCAGAUGGAGUUUAACAAGCAUGGAACAAGAUCUGCAACAACUCCAUCCUCACCACAAAAAAGUAGAAUUGAUGAAGAAAAUACUAUUAUUGGGAUGGACGAUGAAUUCAACACCAUACUUGAUCGCCUCACUACCCAAACAAACGAGUUAACUGUCAUACCAAUUUUUGGUAUGGGCGGUAUCGGUAAGACAACUCUUGCCAAAAGAGUUUAUGAUGAUUCAUAUAUUCGCUCUCGAUUUGAUAAACAUGCAUGGGUUACUAUCUCUGAAGAUUUCAACCAGAGAAAUGCUUCUUGAAGUUGCCUCUUCAAUUACCGAAAGCAAUCAAGAAAAGAGCGAUGAUCAACUAAUGGAGAUUGUUUAUAAAGGUCUCAAGGGUAGGAGAUUCUAAUUGUCAUAGAUGAUAUUUGGAGUACUGAAGCAUGGGACCAAAUGCAAAGACUAUUCCCAAAUGAUAAGAAUAAAAGCAGAAUUCUAUUAACCACUCGUCUCAAGUAUGUUGCCGAUUAUGUCAGCUGUCAUGAGUUUCCACCUCAUUGUAAGUCUUUUCUUAGUGUAGAUGAUAGUUGGAAUCUAUUCACCGAAAAAUUAUUCAAAAAAGAUUCAUGUCCUCGUCAACUUGUAAAACUUGGGAAGCACAUUGUACAACAAUGUCAAGGAUUACCUCUCUCCAUUAUUGUCGUCGCUGGACUUCUUGUGAAAAUGGACUUAACGCGUGACAACUGGAAGAAGGUUGAGGAAAAUCUGAACUCAUUCUUUGGUACGGUGUCCGAACGGUGCCAAUCAAUUCUUUCUCUGAGCUACAAUUACUUGCCCCAAUAUUUGAGGGCUUGUUUUCUCUAUGUUGGAGGUUUUCCUGAAGAUACGGAGAUUGGUGUUUCCAAGUUGAUUAGGCUGUGGAUUGCUGAGCAAUUCAUAAAGGCAAGAAGCAAUAAAAGGUUAGAAGUGGUGGCAGAGGAGUAUCUACAAGAGUUAAUUGAUAGAAGUCUAAUUUUGGCUGGUAAACAAAGGGCUAAUGGAAGGAUGAGAAGUUGCAAAAUUCAUGAUCUUCUUCGCCAACUAUGCCUAAGUGAAGCUCAUACUGAAAAUGUUGUGCAUGUCAUGAAUGGGAAUGUUGUCGAAGCCAUAGAUGAUCAACGUCGAAUGAUCCUUCUGUCUGAAGUUGAAGAGAAGCAUGAUUAUUAUAGUAUGAUGCAACAUAGCAGUGAUAUAGUUCGCACCUUUAUUUCAAUGCAAGUAGAUUUUCCAACACGGAUUGUUUCACAGUUCAAGUUGCUUAAGGUAUUGGAUGUAUUAUCAAUUGAUUACGACUUCUCUAGUGUAAUAUCUGAGCUUGUACAAUUGAGAUAUGUUGCUGCAAGAAUUAGGGAAGCUGUUUCACUAGCCAAAUUGAGAAAUCUACAAACCAUAAUUCUUCAAAGUCUUGAAAGGAAAGAGUUGGAGCAGGCAAUAGAUAUCUGGAGAAUGACAGAGCUAAGGCACGUGGAUAUCAGAUCGCCACUAUAUAUAUAUCUAAUCCUCUUGAGGCAGAAAAUCCUUUGUUUCUGAAUAACUUGCAAACACUUUUUCUCCAUUAUUCACCUUUUGUUGCGGAAAUCAUAAGAAGAAUUCCCAAUCUAAAAAAGCUAAAGAUUGUAGAUGAUUCUGAGAAUCUUGAUUGGCCUGCUAUUCUUGAUUCUCUCAGUCUUAUACAGGAUCUGGAGACACUACAAAUAAAAACCAUGAAAUGGAUGGUUUUCUCUGGGGAAAAUUUCCCUCCUAAUCUCAAGCAACUGAAAUUAACACAUACUUAUAUACCAUGGGAAGUUGUGAAAUUGCUCGCUAAUUUACCCAAUCUUGAGGUGCUCAAAGGGUAUCAUGCAUUUGAUGGAACAUAUUGGAAAUUAGAUGAAGAUAUUGUGUUUCACAAAUUAAAAUAUCUACUACUGAGUGGGUGCUAUUAUCUCAAAAGGUGGGAAGCGGAACCUGCCAUUUUUCCGAUGCUUGAGCAACUAAUACUGGAUAAUUUUUCUGCUAUGAAGGAGAUUCCGGAGAGUAUUGGAGAAAUAAUGACACUAAAAUUCAUCCGAAUAAUAUGGUGCAGCUCCGGUGUAGAGAAAAGUGCAAGGAAGAUCCAAGAAGAGCAAGAAAGCUUUGGAAAUUAUGAGCUUCAACUUCAAAUUACUCCUAAGUUUUGGUGAUUGCGUAAAAGCAAUGGAAGAUGAAGAGAGACAAGGGUACUUGAAGGAAGCUGGUGAUGAUUAUAUAUUUCGACAUCUUCUCAAUUUGGUAAAGCAGAUAAAAUCGUCAUUUUAUAUUCGCCGGGAAGAUCUAGGGCUCUACAUAUAGAGGGUUGGUUAAUGCCACUUUUAGCUAUCUCUGUGUUCUUGCUUACAACAUGACACCAAUAUAAUUAGUUAGAGGUGGAGCUGUUUCACCAACUGAGCAAGCCUCACUCGUCUUGUCAAAUAUAUUCAUAUUUUGUUAUUUAAUCAAUUCCUGUUUUUUUUUUAAUGUUUUGCGAACAAUUUUUCCAGCUGGGAUAAGAAAUUUUUACGUAAUAGGGAGAUAGUGAAGGUACCAUUUGUUGGACGUAUGAUUGAGGUAUCUUGUAGAGCUUUGAUGCUCUUAACGCAUGUUUUAAUGAGGUUUGGAAAAUAUCCCUCCAUGUAAAUGGCAGUGAUUUGUUUUUAAGUGUUUCAA